Molecule: long non-coding RNA, 213 nt
Filed under: Elaeis guineensis (African oil palm)
Lineage: Eukaryota; Viridiplantae; Streptophyta; Magnoliopsida; Arecales; Arecaceae
Description: long non-coding RNA (EGUI_LNC023163)
Source: RNAcentral
UUUGGUAUCUCGUACCAUACCAACACUUAGUAUACUAUCUCAAAUUGUAGUGAACCGCAUAUCGACACUGUAAUAGGAUGGUACUGGUAUGGGGUCCAUUACCAGAAUGGUGAACCCUGACUUUAUCCAAUGUUUUAUGUGUUUGGUAUUGGUGUCCAUACUAGUACCUUACCACUAUAAUAGAGCAUGAUGUGGUAUAUCUAUAUUUACACA